GCAUAAUUUUUUGUGGUGCAUUUACUUGAUUGGUGCUUGGGGAUGUUUGAGGCAGAUUUGUUUCCGUCGUUUUGAGGCCAGCUUGCUGGUACCCAAACGGUGUUAGCAUUUUUUGUCUUGGACAUUUGAGUAUGGCUCACGUGUAUUUAUUGGACAGAUCUGAGUGUAAGUUACGGUCGCAUGCGACACGUGCUUUUCAAUUAGUUCGGUCCAGUUAAUGCUCUCGUACUCGUUCCCCAUGUAAAAGCCGGUCAUCUAUCCGACCCGUCUUGAAACACGGACCAAGGAGUUUAUCGUGUGCGCAAGUUUUUGGGUGUUAAAAACUUAAAAGCGAAAUGAAAGUAAAUGACUCUUUAGAGUCUGAUGUGCGAUCUUGUAAAAAAGUGUAGCAUGGCCCCAUUCUAACUGUUUACAGUAGGGUGGCGGAAGAGCGUACGCGGUGAGACCCGAAAGAUGGUGAACUAUUCCUGAGCAGGACGAAGCCAGAGGAAACUCUGGUGGAAGUCCGAAGCGGUUCUGACGUGCAAAUCGAUCGUCUGACUUGGGUAUAGGGGCGAAAGACUAAUCGAACCAUCUAG
This 578-nucleotide ribosomal RNA is filed under the name Meloidogyne sp. Lichtenburg. RNAcentral's name for it is "eukaryotic LSU rRNA". It matches the Rfam family "Eukaryotic large subunit ribosomal RNA", at positions 476 to 947 of the family's 3401-position model. The record is from RNAcentral. Lineage: Eukaryota; Metazoa; Nematoda; Chromadorea; Rhabditida; Meloidogynidae.